RNAcentral lists this ribosomal RNA (250 nucleotides) under uncultured prokaryote. RNAcentral describes it as "partial 16S rRNA". It matches the Rfam family "Bacterial small subunit ribosomal RNA", at positions 525 to 775 of the family's 1533-position model. The record is from RNAcentral.
ACGUAGGUGGCAAGCGUUGUCCGGAAUUAUUGGGCGUAAAGCGCGCGCAGGUGGGCUCUUAAGUCCAUUUUGAAAGUUCGGAGCUCAACUCCGUGAUGGGAUGGAAACUGGGCUUCUUGAGUAUCGGAGAGGAAAGCGGAAUUUCCCGUGUAGCGGUGAAAGGCGUAGAUAUGGGGAGGAACACCAGUGGCGAAGGCAGCUUUCUGGACGAUGUCUGACUCUGAGGCGCGAAAGCCAGGGGAGCGAACGG